This 473-nucleotide ribosomal RNA is filed under the name uncultured bacterium. RNAcentral describes it as "bacterial SSU rRNA". It matches the Rfam family "Bacterial small subunit ribosomal RNA", at positions 329 to 793 of the family's 1533-position model. The record is from RNAcentral.
GGCCAGACUCCUACGGGAGGCAGCAGUGGGGAAUAUUGCGCAAUGGGCGAAAGCCUGACGCAGCGACGCCGCGUGAGGGAUGAAGGUCUUCGGAUCGUAAACCUCUGUCAGCAGGGAAGAACGGUCACUGUGCUAAUCAGCAGUGAAUUGACGGUACCUGCAAAGGAAGCACCGGCUAACUCCGUGCCAGCAGCCGCGGUAAUACGGAGGAUGCGAGCGUUAUCCGGAUUUAUUGGGUUUAAAGGGUGCGUAGGGGGUUCUUUAAGUCGGGGGUAAAAUGGGGGGCCUCACCCCCUUCCCGCCAUUGAAACUGGCGAUCUUGAGUGGAAGAGAAGUAUGCGGAAUGCGUGGUGUAGCGGUGAAAUGCAUAGAUAUCACGCAGAACCCCGAUUGCGAAGGCAGCAUGCCGGCUUCCGACUGACGCUGAAGCACGAAAGCGUGGGGAUCGAACAGGAUUAGAUACCCGGGUACAG